GCCUUGUUGGCUCAGUUGGUAGAGCAUGUGACUCUUGAUCUCAGGGUCAUGAGUUUGAGUCCCAUGUUGGACC
Molecule: transfer RNA, 73 nt
Filed under: Canis lupus familiaris (dog)
Lineage: Eukaryota; Metazoa; Chordata; Mammalia; Carnivora; Canidae
Also listed under: 3 other names
Rfam family: tRNA
About the family: Transfer RNA (tRNA) molecules are approximately 80 nucleotides in length. Their secondary structure includes four short double-helical elements and three loops (D, anti-codon, and T loops).
Source: Rfam by way of RNAcentral